RNAcentral lists this ribosomal RNA (900 nucleotides) under uncultured bacterium. Its description in RNAcentral is "bacterial SSU rRNA". It matches the Rfam family "Bacterial small subunit ribosomal RNA", at positions 99 to 998 of the family's 1533-position model. The record is from RNAcentral.
CGCACGGGUGAGUAACACGUAUGCAACCUGCCUUCAACAAGGGCAUAACCCGUUGAAAGACGGACUAAUUCCCUAUGACACAGGGGUCCCGCAUGGGGAUAUUUGUUAAAGAUAUUAUCGGUUGAAGAUGGGCAUGCGUUCCAUUAGCUUGUUGGCGGGGUAACGGCCCACCAAGGCAACGAUGGAUAGGGGAACUGAGAGGUUUAUCCCCCACACUGGUACUGAGACACGGACCAGACUCCUACGGGAGGCAGCAGUGAGGAAUAUUGGUCAAUGGACGCAAGUCUGAACCAGCCACGUCGCGUGAAGGAAGACGGCCCUACGGGUUGUAAACUUCUUUUAUACGGGAAUAAAGUGCCCCACGCGUGGGGUUUUGCAAGUACCGUACGAAUAAGGAUCGGCUAACUCCGUGCCAGCAGCCGCGGUAAUACGGAGGAUCCGAGCGUUAUCCGGAUUUAUUGGGUUUAAAGGGUGCUCAGGCGGGGGAUUAAGUCGGCGGUGAAAUUUUGCAGCUCAACUGUAAAAGUGCCUUCGAAACUGGUUUCCUUGAGUGCGGAUGAGGUAGGCGGAAUUUGUGGUGUAGCGGUGAAAUGCAUAGAUAUCACGAGGAACUCCGAUUGCGCAGGCAGCUUACCAAGCCGUAACUGACGCUCAAGCACGAAGGCGUGGGGAUCAAACAGGAUUAGAUACCCUGGUAGUCCACGCAGUAAACGAUGAUUACUGGCUGUUUGCGAUAUAAUGUAAGCGGCUGAGCGAAAGCGUUAAGUAAUCCACCUGGGGAGUACGUUCGCAAGAAUGAAACUCAAAGGAAUUGACGGGGGCCCGCACAAGCGGAGGAACAUGUGGUUUAAUUCGAUGAUACGCGAGGAACCUUACCCGGGCUUGAAAUGCGUCUGGCGU